GAAUAAAGCUUCUAUAAAUAUUUGCAUAUAGAUGUUCUGUUUCUCUUGAGUAACACCUACGAGAGGAAUGGCUGAGUCAUAUGGUGAGUGAAUGUUUGUAAGGAACUGCCACCCUGUUUUCCAAAGUGGCUGUAUCAUUUGCAUUCCCAUCAGCAAUGCAUGAGGAUUCUAAUUAGCUGUUCCUCAUCCUUGCCAGCACUUGGGCGUUGAGAACGCGUGGUGUUCUAAGGAAUCCCAGUGGCAUGCAUUUGUUGAAAAGGCAUCAGCAGGGCUUUAGUGGGCAGCUCACUGGGUGGAAGUUUGAAAGUCUCAUCUCCUCUGCAAGAGGAAGGUUUGGGUUCCCUUCAGCCACAUUCCCUGGUCCUGGGCGGGAAGGGACCCCUUCCCAGUGCCAACUGGACAGGCUUGGUCCCUCCUGUAGGUUUGGGGUAUUCUGUGACCUCAGGAGUUUAGACUGGGGAGGCUUAAUGUCAUGACGAGAGUGUCGAUCAGGAGUCAAGAGGCCAAGCUGAGCUGAGGGCUUUGAUUUCCUCAUUCAUUAGACAAAGUUUUCUUCUGCUCACAGGUACCAAGAUUCUAGGAACUGCUUCUGAGUUUGGGGAGGAACAGCCACACCCCAUCCUGGAUGCGGAGGUGAGAGGGGGCCUCCUCUCCUCUAGUUCCACGUCGCUGGCCUUUCCUGCCCUCCCCAUGCACCGGGCCUUGUUUGCAGGCUUGUGGGUGAGGAGACAGGCCUUGCUGGCAGCAGUACAGGGCAGACACCUUGGGAUGGAGCUGGGGGAGUGGGGCAGAGCCAGGGGGAGGCUGGAGAGGGCAGGUCAGUGCAGGAGGCAGGGCCCACCAGGCCGCCGAGGAAGUAUCAGACACAGACAGACAGUUCUGGGCGAUGGGAUAAGCAGACAGCAUGCCCUCACCCUCACCUCGUUAUCAGGGGACGUCCCUCCAGAUGGCUCGGCCCAGGAACUGGAAGGAGAGGAGUGUCUUGAAAUUAAAAUGGCACAGGAGGUACCAGUGACACGCUUUAGAGGAAGGCACAUUCCUGUGUGACACUCAAGGCGGUGUCUUUCUGAAGCAGGUGGCACUAGGAUGCUGAGGCACAGCCCGUUGUUGGGGGGGAGCCUGGAGACAGCCCAGGCGCCUGUCUUGCCUCCUCUCACAGACCCUACCUUUACUCUCAGCCCAGCAGAAGCAGCAGAGGCAGAAGCAAGCACGCAACAGCCGGCCACAGCCCCAGGCUGCAGUGUGCCAGGCUCAAUGGGACAGGGCCCAGGCUCCUGGGACAUCGUGGGAGGGGCUGGGUUUCCCCAGAGAAGGCUGUGGCCCUGGGUUGGAUGGGAUGUCCCUGUGGAGGACAGGAGGGGUGUCACUCCAGGUGGGGAUCUGGAGGAGAGGCCAGCGUUCCUGAAAGCACACUCAGGUUGAACUCUGGGGGUCUCCUCUGGGGACAGUGACCUUCCCAGAGGGAGGGAGGCACCCCCACACAGAGGCUUUAGCAGCCCCGCCCUUGUGGCACCAAAGGCGAUGGGGUGCAUCAGGCAAGGAUGCAGAGAGAGACCCUCCUUCUCCUGCCCUGAUUCCACGUGACUUCAUGCGUGGGCAUUUUCCUUAGGUCGGAGGCAACCGGCCCUUUAACACCUUAUUGGAACAGAAUUACCUGUGUAUGCCUGUACUCUCCGUGCAUCUCCUCCGUUUCCUCCCUCCCAGUGCCUGGGGACUGAUCAUGUAAAGUUGUUAACUCUGUUGCUUAACACCUGUGAAGUCCAAGCUUGCCGCAGAGCAACUUUCCUGUGUACCAGUGAGCAGAUGGCUAUGAAUUCUUGUCUCGUGGAGAGGUCAGAUCAUGGCCUCCAGCAUGAUGGGCUCCUGACUUUCAGGUAACAGAUCUGUCCUCUGAGUUGUCACCACACCCAUCUCCUUUCAUCCACGCCAAGGAAAAGAGCCCUCCACUUAGCAAAGGCCUAGCCCAGUGUCCUGCAGGAGCCUUCCGUGUCCCCAGCAUCCCUGGAGAAGAGAAGCAGCCCCUGUAAGUGCUGUUACUAAUGACGCUGGCAACAUCCACCUCCAGGAGCCCAUCUUGAUCUGUACCCUGGGGACCCGUAAGCCCAGGGCAGUGCUCUGGGGGCCAAGACUAGAGACCCACCACAACCCUCUGCCUCUUCUUUCUCCUUGAAUUUCCUUUUACUUUAAUUAUUUGUGGAGUCACAGGGUGGUUGAGAGGUUUCUCCAACCCAGUUCUCUAGAUGUGGGUAAGGUUACACCGUCCUAGCAGGACUACCCUGGUCUUAACCUUCUCCAGAGAAUAAGGCCUCCAUAUACCCCUCUCCCGCCCCCUCCCCCACCCCCGGGACCUGGGUGCAGACACCAUUGCUAUGGUUGACCAUCAUUCAAGGUUCGUUUUCUUCUCGGGUAUGUAGAUCAUUUAGAAUGUUUCUCAAAUCAGUUUUCCACCUGGCGUCUUCGGUGGCGGACUGCUUUUACAAUCGGGUGGAAUUUCCUCUCCAUUAAGGUCCUUGUCUUCCAUCGAAGUCUAGCGGGCUUUGUUUACGUUUACAGAGUCAUGGUUAGGCAUCAUCUUUUGUGGACCAUUUAAUUGAUCGGCCCUCCUCGCCUUCUCUUCUUCACAUUACAGAAUUUUAUUUCUUUUUCCUUACAGAGGGGCCCCAUGCCUGUGGGAGAUGUGACCAGAGUGGAGAAAUAGGGAUAUUUCCCCUCAGUGACUAAAGCAAAGGCAGCCAAGUUCCAUAUCUCAUGGUCCAGGGUCAGCAGGCGCCCGGUGGUUGGUCUGGUUCUGGCCAUUACUGGGGUGUAAAUCUAGAUCUCAUUGGGCUCCUUUACUUAGAGUCCUUCCAAGUCCAAGACGACCCCAGGGAGGCUGGGACAGGCCCAGGGAAGACCCAACCCAGAGCCUUCCUGAGAGCCAUGGCAGCUUCCUGGGGAAGCCUUCCGCGGGCGCCUGCUUGCCCACAGCGGGCUCGUUUUGGAAGGAUCCACAGCUCACCCCUCGCUUCUCUCAAGCGCAGGUCACCUGCCUGGGAAGCCCCUGCUGACCCCCAGGGCACCCACUGGCGGGUGUGCCGAGAGGCUCUGUCUACAAGAUGGAUGAGUUCUGGCUCUAUUCUAAGGAACUGAAAUGCGUCAUUUAGUCAAAGUCUAUGAUACAAAUAGCCCUCCUGUGGGAGCACGGUUAAGAAUAAGCAGUUAGGAGAAAUUUUUCAGCUCUUGAGAGAUUAAUUGAAGUAGAGUUAAAAAAAAAAAUAUAGACCUAUUUCCCUUGUCUGCCCAUUGGUGACGUGUGCGGGCAGACAUGGCUACUUUUUGCUGCCUCAACAGACAGAAUAGCACCUAUACAUGGGGUGGGGGCAUUUCUCAGCGAACUGACCCCACAGCGGGGUUGUUGCAUCUUUGGAUGGUGCUGCGUGACUGGAUGCCUGCCCAAGCCUGAGUGCGUUUCAUUCUUUGAGUUUGGUGCCUGAAUGUUUGUGUGAGCAGCAAAGAGUAGCCGAGUUUCCCCUUGCACCCUCUAGGGCAGGGGACAGAAAUCUUUUUCUGUAAAGAACAGACAGCAAGUGUUUCAGGCUUCGUGGACCUCCUAUCCUCUGUGGCAGCUGCUCAACUCUGUUGGGAUGGUGGUGGGCAGGCAGCCACAGAGAGUAUGCAAAUAAAGGGCUUGGCUGUGGUUCCAAUAAACCUUUAUUUAUAAAAGCAGGUGGCAGGCUCACUUUGCAGGCUGUAGUUUGCCCACUCCUGCUCAGGAGUCAGAGAGAUGAGGAAGUUCCUUCCCUCUCCUUCACUGUUUUCAGGUGAUGCCUGGGAAUAGUUUGUUCAUUCAACACAUACUUACUGCGCAGUCUGCUACUAGGCCAGGCUCUGUGAUGUGAGUUUAGGAGAAAACGGAAUAUACAAAGGUUCCUGAUUCAUGGGACUUACAUUGUAGCAAGGAGACUAGUGUGACUAGAGAGGAGUGUGAAGGAGCCACUGAACUUUGAACUGAGAACUACAUGAUCUCUUAGGAGGGGAGAGCAGUAAGUAAUCCAGGAGGGAGACGGUGGUAGCAUGAACUGGAGUGGUAUCAGGGAAGAGAGUGAGGAGUACUUGGAUUCGGGUAUAUUUUGAAGGUAGAGCCAGCUUGAUUUCCUAAUGGACAUGAUAUGUCUGAGAUAAAGGAUGUUUUGGGCCCAGCAAUUGUACUAUGGAGUCGCCACUAACUGAGACGGGAAUACUAAGGGUGGAAGCAGUGUCACACAUGCUAACUUGGAAAUUUCUCUAGUCAUCCAAGUGGAUAUAGUCAAGCCUGGCAUUUGGGAGAGAGGUCUGAGCUGCAGAGGAUACAUUUAUAUGUUGUCAUCAUGGGAUAAUAAUGGUAUUUGAAGUGAUGGGCUCAGGUGUGAUCGCCAUGGAAACGGAAGUGGCUAGAGAAAAGAGGAGAGCCAAGACUCUGGGGCACUCCAGUAUUAGGACGUUGGGGAGAGGAAGAGGGACCUGCAAAGGAGAGAGAAAGGGGUGGUGAGUGAGCCGGGAAGAGGAAACCAAGAGAGGGCAGUGUCCUGGAGCCAAGCGAAGAGGAUAUAUCCGGGAGGAGGGAGUGGUCUCCUGGGACACGUCCUGCUUGUAGGUCUGGAUCUGUUGUAAGAUGAAGACUGAGUGUUGACCGUUGGCUCUGGCAGUUUGGUGGUUCUUACUGACUGUGAUGAGAGCAGUUUAUGUGGAGGGGAAGAUGGCCUGAUGGGAGGGGUUUGGCUACUCAGAGGAGCAAUUGAAUGGCGGGGGGAGGAGGGAAGUAGGAUUAAAAGAAGAUUUUUGUUGGUUUUUUUAAAAAAAAUGUUUUUAUUGAUUUUUAGAGAGAGAGGAAGGGGAAGAGAGAUAGAGAUAGAAACAUCAAUGAGAGAGAAACACUGAUUGGCUGCCUCCUGCAUGGCCCCCACUGGGGAGGAGCCUGCAGCCGGGGCAUGUGCCCUGACCAGGAAUAGAACCGGUGACCUCUGGGUGCGUGGGUCAACACUCAGCCACUGAGCCACGCCAGCCAGGCUUUGUUGUCUUUGAUACGGGAGAAGCAGUGCAUGUUUGUACGAUGGAAAUCAUCCAGUAGAGAACAAAAAUUUGAUAAUGAGGGCAAGACAGGGAAGAACUGCCAGAAAGGUGUCCUUUAGUAGGUGAGAAAGAUGGGGUCUGUACCAAAGGGAGGUUUCAGCUUUAGACAGCUACUUCGAGGACUUCAGCUUCUGGCCAAGAGCGAGUACUUGGUACUGGGCUCUCCAUAUACAACUAGAAAACCAGGAAGAUUGUUACGGCUUCCUGUUUCACUGAGGCCGCCGGCGAAGAGCUUCCAGAGAUCCCCACCAUCACCCCCUCCAGCACCCACCUCCGCACGCUCUGCUGCCCUCUGUGCCCUUAUCUAGACCAGCUUCAGGCUUCACGGAUUGUCUGCCUAUUGUUUGUCCCUUUUCUAUGUUGACUUCGGCUCUGAUCUGUAAUAUUUCUUUUUUCUGGUGUGAGAGGAUCUGAAGCUCUAAGAAGUUAAGUAAUGUGCCAGCGUACACACAGCUGAUCUCCGCUGGAGCCCAAACUUGAACUCGGGUCUGCUAAGGUCAGAUGAUCUUUUCACCUCACCCACCUCAACUGCCAGGAAAAGUGUACAUGGAAACAUUGCAUAAAGCACCAGGUCCAGUCAGGGCUCGGGCUAACCCGCUGGCCACAGCCCCAUCCGAGGAGCACACGCCCUGCUCUUCCAGUUGUUUGCUUUCUGUGACCCCUGCUUUGUUUAGCACGACCGCCCAGAGCAUUCAUUGGAGCACACUUGGCCUUUAAAGAGGAAAAGAGCUAGGAUCCCAGCUGGCGUGGUUGAAGGCAUGCCUCAAUGAAAUCCGUGUCCCAGAGGGAGUCUUUGGGCAAGGCAGACACAAACUGUGAGAGAUUGGCUCCCAGGAAGCACACCGCCGCAGUCACUUUUCGGGUGGGAUCGUGGGCUUCAUCCUCCCCACGUGUUCUGCUCUGUUCUGGCCUCUGGGCUGUUUGUUGGUUUGUGAGGUGCAAACAACCCUCUUCCGCCGGGCACCUGAAAAUUCUGCUGGGGCUUGUGUGAAAGGUCAGGUCAUAAGCUGUGGAUGCAAGUCGUCUGUGUAUUCACCAAAAGGCCGCGCAGUUCACAGAGGACUGCUGGUUGCCCUGGCAACCUCACAGACAGGGCUCCAAGUAGACAAGAGGUGAGGACAGCAGGCAGCGUCUGUAGGGUGGUUUUCUGUGGCUGAGCCGCCCCUGACAGCAGUCACAGCUACAGCCUGGACACAAGAGGCCAUGCUGGAAGCCUGUGUAACACAGACCAGUCCAGAGCCAAGCUGGUGUGACUGGCUGAGCAGCGGGUCACUGUUGCUUUUCCCUGACACAGUCCAACACUCCUGGCUCCUAGGGUUGUCCCCGGAAACCAGGGGAGUGCAGCUGAGCUGGCCCAGCAGGCGGAUGCUUGGUGCCGUGGAGGGGAGGGGCUCUCAACUCCCUCUGCAGCCACCAUACUCAGGGAUUUUAGGGAAACGACCUCAUCCUGCCUCAGUUUCCACAUUAGUCAUGUGAGGCUGAGAACACAGGCUCUUCCUUUAUAAAGGCAGCUGUGAAAAGCAGAUGUGACAAGAGCAGAGCAUUGCUUGGAGGUCACAAGUACAGUUCCCCAAACAUGCCAUGCCAUCCUCUGGGAAUAGAAGCGGAGACUCAGGAUUGCUGCGUUUGCUAAUUGUGAAUUAAAAAAUAUUUCAUAGUCCCCCCACCCCCACCCCCCGACGGUUCCAAUAUCACCGGUAUGACUACAUGGAUCUCAUUCUUCUUUCGUUCUUCCUGUGUGAGGGCUUGUUGUGGCUAUAUGAGCUGAUAGCCUCAGGCUAGAGGUCAGCGGAACAAUUUCAGCUUGCAAACCAAAUGGAUUUUGACACCCAUAGUGUUGUGGUUGUUUUGAAACUUGAAUUGACUGACAAUAAAAAUCCAGAUUUUUAGCUUCAUUCAAAAAAAUCAAAUCUGGCUUCAUGGCCACAGCAGGCGGGUGUCUGAGCAGCCGCCCCUUGGGCCCUGAGCUCCAGUUUGUGGCAUCUCUACGCUCCUCCGGGUUCAGCCCUCUCCAGCCUCUCACAGGCCAGUGUCAGUUUCAUGUCAGCGGCAUUCGCACUGCAAGUCCAUCUGCUCCCUUAGAUGCCCUGGCUGCGGGAGUCUUUUCAAUCCGUCAUCUCGUAUCUCAAAAGUGCCAGGUGAAAAUCCGGCCAAUGGCCCCAAUGCCUGUGGGAACCCCAGUGCAGGGGACAGUGCAGGUCGGUUCGGAAGAUGAGAUUUGUGAGCCUAAAGGGUUGUAGGCUGUUCACAGUCUUGGCGACUCAGCUUUGCAACAUCCUCAGAUCCCCUUGGAUACACCUGCUGCAUCCAAGUCGCUGGUGCCCUAAAGCACUUUCCUCGUCCGCCGCGUGUCUCUGAGGCCAGUUAUGUCGUAGAACGGUCUCUUGAGCUCUGUGUCCUCCUGCCCGCUGCCCCUGGUCUUAAUUAGCACCUGGUCUUAGCACUGGUCUUCUGGUCUCUUUCUUCUCCAGUCUGUUUCACUUCCCACAAAACAAACGCAGCCUACUUUCCCCUCCACUCGGAAAGCCCUGCUCUCUAAAGGAUGAAGUCAGAACUCCUGACAAAAGGGCUCCCCAUCUGCCCUGACCAGUUUGGCUCAGUGGCUAGAGUGUCAGCCUGUGGACUGAAGCGUCCCAGGUUCGAUUCCGGUCAAGGGCAUGUACCUUGCUUGCGGGCACAUCCCCAGUAGGGGGUGUGCAGGAGGCAGCUGAUGGA
Myotis daubentonii (Daubenton's bat) is the source of this 7803-nucleotide long non-coding RNA. RefSeq lists it as uncharacterized. The record is from RefSeq and is a predicted model, not a curated record. Lineage: Eukaryota; Metazoa; Chordata; Mammalia; Chiroptera; Vespertilionidae.